ACAGAAUAUUGUGGAAUAAGUGGUCCUUAUUAGAAGGACAUAAUAGGGAAGCCGGUUAGAAUCCGGCGCGGUCCCGCCACUGUAGGAGGAAGUCGUUCUGCAUUAUGCCACUGGGCAGUAGCUUGGGAAGGCGCAGAAACGGUGAUGAUCUCGAGCCAGGAAACCUGCUUAUUCUGAACUCACCGG
Molecule: non-coding RNA, 186 nt
Filed under: Thermincola carboxydiphila JR
Lineage: Bacteria; Bacillati; Bacillota; Clostridia; Eubacteriales; Thermincolaceae
Also listed under: 1 other name
Source: RNAcentral